AGUGAACGCUGGCGGUAGGCCUAACACAUGCAAGUCGAACGGCAGCACAGUAAGAGCUUGCUCUUACGGGUGGCGAGUGGCGGACGGGUGAGGAAUACAUCGGAAUCUACUUUUUCGUGGGGGAUAACGUAGGGAAACUUACGCUAAUACCGCAUACGACCUACGGGUGAAAGCAGGGGAUCUUCGGACCUUGCGCGAUUGAAUGAGCCGAUGUCGGAUUAGCUAGUUGGCGGGGUAAAGGCCCACCAAGGGGACGAUCCGUAGCUGGUCUGAGAGGAUGAACAGCAACACUGGAAGUGAGAGACGGUCCAGAAUCCUACGGGAGACAGCAGUGGGGAAUGUAGGACAGUAGGCGCAAACCUGGUCCAGACUUACCGCGUGAGUGAAGAAGGCCAUCGGGUUGUAAAGCCCUUUUGUUAGGAAAGAAAAGCAGCAGGUUAAUACCCGGCUGUUCUGACGGUACCCAAAGAAUAAGCGCCGGCUAACUUCGUG
Molecule: ribosomal RNA, 492 nt
Filed under: uncultured bacterium
Lineage: Bacteria
Description: partial 16S ribosomal RNA
Rfam family: Bacterial small subunit ribosomal RNA
Source: RNAcentral